GGGGAUAUAGCUCAGCUGGUAGAGCACUUCCGUGGCACGGAAGGGGUCUGGGGUUCGAAUCCCCAUAUCUCCACAA
This 76-nucleotide transfer RNA is filed under the name Candidatus Moranbacteria bacterium RIFOXYA1_FULL_44_7. Its description in RNAcentral is "tRNA-Ala". It matches the Rfam family "tRNA". Rfam says of the family: Transfer RNA (tRNA) molecules are approximately 80 nucleotides in length. Their secondary structure includes four short double-helical elements and three loops (D, anti-codon, and T loops). Further hydrogen bonds mediate the characteristic L-shaped molecular structure. tRNAs have two regions of fundamental functional importance: the anti-codon, which is responsible for specific mRNA codon recognition, and the 3' end, to which the tRNAs corresponding amino acid is attached (by aminoacyl-tRNA synthetases). tRNAs cope with the degeneracy of the genetic code in two manners: having more than one tRNA (with a specific anti-codon) for a particular amino acid; and 'wobble' base-pairing, i.e. permitting non-standard base-pairing at the 3rd anti-codon position. Lineage: Bacteria; Candidatus Moraniibacteriota. RNAcentral also lists the same sequence under 3 other names. The record is from RNAcentral.